AGUGUUAUAGCCUUUGGUAGAUGUGACGAUUGGGAUCGAGGAUUGCAACGAAUACCCCUUUGGGCUAUCCGUCUGACCUCUGAAAGUCGCUCGGGUGUUGAAAGCGUGCUUACGACAUUCUAGUUGGCGGUCAAAAGGUUAGAACGCGAUUACAUUCGUUAAGGAUGUUGACGUAAUGGCUUUAAACGA
This 189-nucleotide ribosomal RNA is filed under the name Glomus sp. RNAcentral's name for it is "partial large subunit ribosomal RNA". The record is from RNAcentral. Lineage: Eukaryota; Fungi; Glomeromycota; Glomeromycetes; Glomerales; Glomeraceae.